This 1184-nucleotide unclassified non-coding RNA is filed under the name Leishmania donovani. Its description in RNAcentral is "gene:unknown". The record is from RNAcentral. Lineage: Eukaryota; Euglenozoa; Kinetoplastea; Trypanosomatida; Trypanosomatidae.
CUCACCCACACGCACACACACACUCCGCCUCUCCCCUCUCCGCUCACCCACAGACACGCACACGUACCCGCGCUGUCGCACGCUCGCGCCGGCGACAGGCGAGCCUGUGUGCCUCCUUCUCUGCCUCCUUUCCCUGUUCGCUCCGUCCUACUCUGCCUCGAUGUCCUCCAAGUCGCCAUGCCCGCCGUGCGUUGGGCGCAGGCGCUGCACGUACCGCUCUUCAUCGUCUUGUGGAGGUCUGCGCGCGCGCGUAUAGGUAUUUCCCUUCCCUUGCCAGCAUGCGCGUGUGCGUGUGUGGUGAGAGAAGGAGAGAAGGGCGGGGGAGGAGCGUGUGCGAGGGCGUUGCACGGGAGGCCAUGAAGCGAGUCGGGCAUCGUCGUCGCCAUCGGCCGGGCCUCUGGUCUGUGUGUAUGUGUAUGUGUAUGUGUAUGUGUGUGCGUGUAGGGGAGGGAGGGGCGAUGUGUGCACACACACUCGGUUGCUGGCGUAGGACAGAGAGACGACGGCAAGGAGGAGCGCACGCCCAGGCAGGGGGUGGGGUGGGGUGGGGGGAGCGCGUCGUCAGCAUACCCAAGGCACGCCUUCGGCUUCCUGUGUUUCGAUAACGCAGCUGCUCCUCUCGGCAAGGCAAGCGCAUGCGCGCGGACGCGGGUGUUCGCGGCGUCGCCAGUGUAGUCUCCCCUCACCGAGUUGCUCUGUUUCUCUGACGUCACCGCCGGCGAAUCCGGUGUGCGAGUGGUGGAAAGACCGAGGGAGGGGGAGGAAGGAGGGGACUGCGCGCACGCCUUCUCUGAUCGCGAUAUCGCGGGCAGGCGAGAACCCGAAAGAUCGCACAUGUAUCGCGAUGCAAGCGAUGAGUCUACGGCUCGGCUGCCAUCUGCACGACCGCCGCAGCCGCAGCGCCAAGAGUUCAGGGCAAGUGUAGAUGCUCCUUCCCCUCACCAGAGCUCGCCUCAGGAGGCGCGCGCACGUGCCUACAGAGCGAAUCGCAUGUCGCGGGAUUCGCCGAGUCGCGUGUGGAGUCCUGACCUUCCCCUCCUUGCCUACCCUCCUCCCUCAACCCCGUCCCCGCUGGCGCCUCGCAGGCAUCUGCCAAGCAGAUCUGUAUCCCAUGCACACACCGACUCACCUCCGCACCACUUCUCUCGCUCUCGCCCCUCGCCCUCGCUUUUUCUGUCCGUCAG